RNAcentral lists this ribosomal RNA (254 nucleotides) under uncultured bacterium. RNAcentral's name for it is "partial 16S ribosomal RNA". It matches the Rfam family "Bacterial small subunit ribosomal RNA", at positions 524 to 776 of the family's 1533-position model. The record is from RNAcentral.
UACGGGGGGAGCAAGCGUUGUUCGGAUUUACUGGGCGUAAAGGGCGCGUAGGCGGUCAGCACAAGUCAGUUGUGAAAUCUCCGAGCUUAACUCGGAAAGGUCAACUGAUACUGUGCGACUAGAGUGCGGAAGGGGCAACUGGAAUUCUCGGUGUAGCGGUGAAAUGCGUAGAUAUCGAGAGGAACACCUGCGGCGAAGGCGGGUUGCUGGGCCGACACUGACGCUGAUGCGCGAAAGCCAGGGGAGCGAACGGG